This 253-nucleotide ribosomal RNA is filed under the name uncultured bacterium. RNAcentral describes it as "partial 16S ribosomal RNA". It matches the Rfam family "Bacterial small subunit ribosomal RNA", at positions 524 to 776 of the family's 1533-position model. The record is from RNAcentral.
UACGGAGGGUGCGAGCGUUGUCCGGAAUCAUUGGGCGUAAAGGGCGCGUAGGUGGCGGGACAAGCGUGCGGUGAAAGCCUGGGGCUCAACCCUGGCAUGGCGUUGAAUACUACCUUGCUAGAGUACCGGAGAGGAAACUGGAAUUUACGGUGUAGCAGUGAAAUGCGUAGAGAUCGUAAGGAAGACCAGUGGCGAAGGCGAGUUUCUGGACGGUAACUGACGCUGAGGCACGAAGGCCAGGGGAGCAAACGGG